This is a long non-coding RNA of Brassica napus (rape), 1011 nucleotides long. RefSeq lists it as uncharacterized. Lineage: Eukaryota; Viridiplantae; Streptophyta; Magnoliopsida; Brassicales; Brassicaceae. The transcript has 4 exons. The record is from RefSeq and is a predicted model, not a curated record.
AAUUUUCGUGACAAAUAUGAAAAAGCAUAGGAAACAAUUAAAAUAUACUUCUCUAAUGUCUUAAUAAAAUAUUAUUUAAGGAGUGUAAUAAUUAAAUAUAUUAAUUCAAUAAAUUUUGUAAUUUAUAGACAAAACAAUAACACAACAAAUUUUGAAACAUUUGUUUAACCUAUCGAUUUUUUUCAUGAGAAUCUAUCCUAUACUAAAAGGAAGAUAUUCUCAAUGGAGAGAGUGCCAUGUCAGAUUUUUUAAUCGUCCAAUUAAAAUGCACUAAUCUGCCAUGCUAUCAACAAUAUAAUCAUGCGAAAUAAUAUGGGCUCUUAGUGAUUUGAUGUGGCCCAAUUUUCACGAUCUCUCCGACUUUUACACUUUCUCUUUGCCGUCUCAAAGUCUAGAAACCCUACCGUCUAUGUGUUUCACCGUUCUGACUCCUUAUGUCUCUCCUCCUAUAUAAAAACCUUUUCCGAUCGACCUCCAAGCUCAUUCAACAACAUCCACAAAACUUCUUCCAGUAAAAGCAAAGUCAGUCGGAAAAAUCUCUUGGCAAGUCUCGGGCGGCUCUAUUUUUCAACGCCAUCACACUAGGCCUCUCGGACUCAGAGUUACGCUUUAGUUUAUUUCACUUAUGGGAGUCAAGAAACAGGGGCUCCGUAUUGGCUUUGAACGGCAGCUCUCUCUUAAACAAGCAGAUGACAGAGUCAAGGGUUAGAGGGCUUAAAGGAGUCAUACGAUCUUGCGUUAUGUGCUUUUGUGGUGUCUGCAAAGGAAUUCAGGUUAAACAACUUUUACCUUAAGUAACAUGAAGGUGAUUUGCCAACAUGAAGACUGCAGACGGCAAGGUUUCCAAGAGUUUAUGGGUCUUUAGCAUCUUACAAUGACCACAAACUAAUUUAACACUUGCACAUAUACAGAAGAAGCUAAGAAAGCAGUGCAGUGUGAGAAAUCAAGAAACAUUGAUCUAGAAGGAUUUCGAUAAUUUUGUUGAAAACUGUAAGUACUAUGGAUGCUACA